RNAcentral lists this ribosomal RNA (450 nucleotides) under uncultured soil bacterium. RNAcentral describes it as "bacterial SSU rRNA". It matches the Rfam family "Bacterial small subunit ribosomal RNA", at positions 26 to 520 of the family's 1533-position model. The record is from RNAcentral.
AGAACGAACGCUGGCGGCAUGCCUAACACAUGCAAGUCGAACGAACCCUCCGGGGUUAGUGGCGCACGGGUGCGUAACGCGUGGGAAUCUGCCCUUAGGUACGGAAUAACUCAGCGAAAGUUGUGCUAAUACCGUAUGAUGUCUUCGGACCAAAGAUUUAUCGCCUAGGGAUGAGCCCGCGUUGGAUUAGCUAGUUGGUGAGGUAAAGGCUCACCAAGGCGACGAUCCAUAGCUGGUCUGAGAGGAUGAUCAGCCACACUGGGACUGAGACACGGCCCAGACUCCUACGGGAGCAGCAGUGGGGAAUAUUGGACAAUGGGCGCAAGCCUGAUCCAGCAAUGCCGCGUGAGUGAUGAAGGCUUAGGGUUAGUAAAGCUUCGUUUUACCGGGAAGAUAAUGACUGUACGGAGAAAUAACGCCCGGCUAACCUCCGUCGCCGAGCAGCCGGAC